This 2928-nucleotide ribosomal RNA is filed under the name Salmonella enterica subsp. enterica. RNAcentral describes it as "23S ribosomal RNA". It matches the Rfam family "Bacterial large subunit ribosomal RNA". Lineage: Bacteria; Pseudomonadati; Pseudomonadota; Gammaproteobacteria; Enterobacterales; Enterobacteriaceae. The record is from RNAcentral.
GGGUUGUGAGGUUAAGCGACUAAGCGUACACGGUGGAUGCCCUGGCAGUCAGAGGCGAUGAAGGGCGUGCUAAUCUGCGAUAAGCGCCGGUAAGGUGAUAUGAACCGUUAUAACCGGCGAUACCCGAAUGGGGAAACCCAGUGUGACUCGUCACACUAUCAUUAACUGAAUCCAUAGGUUAAUGAGGCGAACCGGGGGAACUGAAACAUCUAAGUACCCCGAGGAAAAGAAAUCAACCGAGAUUCCCCCAGUAGCGGCGAGCGAACGGGGAGGAGCCCAGAGCCUGAAUCAGCAUGUGUGUUAGUGGAAGCGUCUGGAAAGGCGCGCGAUACAGGGUGACAGCCCCGUACACAAAAGCGCAUGUGCUGUGAGCUCGAUGAGUAGGGCGGGACACGUGGUAUCCUGUCUGAAUAUGGGGGGACCAUCCUCCAAGGCUAAAUACUCCUGACUGACCGAUAGUGAACCAGUACCGUGAGGGAAAGGCGAAAAGAACCCCGGCGAGGGGAGUGAAAAAGAACCUGAAACCGUGUACGUACAAGCAGUGGGAGCACAGGUUUACCUGUGUGACUGCGUACCUUUUGUAUAAUGGGUCAGCGACUUAUAUUCUGUAGCAAGGUUAACCGAAUAGGGGAGCCGCAGGGAAACCGAGUCUUAACCGGGCGUUAAGUUGCAGGGUAUAGACCCGAAACCCGGUGAUCUAGCCAUGGGCAGGUUGAAGGUUGGGUAACACUAACUGGAGGACCGAACCGACUAAUGUUGAAAAAUUAGCGGAUGACCUGUGGCUGGGGGUGAAAGGCCAAUCAAACCGGGAGAUAGCUGGUUCUCCCCGAAAGCUAUUUAGGUAGCGCCUCGUGAAUUCAUCUCCGGGGGUAGAGCACUGUUUCGGCUAGGGGGCCAUCCCGGCUUACCAACCCGAUGCAAACUGCGAAUACCGGAGAAUGUUAUCACGGGAGACACACGGCGGGUGCUAACGUCCGUCGUGAAGAGGGAAACAACCCAGACCGCCAGCUAAGGUCCCAAAGUCAUGGUUAAGUGGGAAACGAUGUGGGAAGGCCCAGACAGCCAGGAUGUUGGCUUAGAAGCAGCCAUCAUUUAAAGAAAGCGUAAUAGCUCACUGGUCGAGUCGGCCUGCGCGGAAGAUGUAACGGGGCUAAACCAUGCACCGAAGCUGCGGCAGCGACACUAUGUGUUGUUGGGUAGGGGAGCGUUCUGUAAGCCUGUGAAGGUGUGUCGUGAGGCAUGCUGGAGGUAUCAGAAGUGCGAAUGCUGACAUAAGUAACGAUAAAGCGGGUGAAAAGCCCGCUCGCCGGAAGACCAAGGGUUCCUGUCCAACGUUAAUCGGGGCAGGGUGAGUCGACCCCUAAGGCGAGGCCGAAAGGCGUAGUCGAUGGGAAACGGGUUAAUAUUCCCGUACUUGGUGUUACUGCGAAGGGGGGACGGAGAAGGCUAUGUUGGCCGGGCGACGGUUGUCCCGGUUUAAGCGUGUAGGUGUGUGUUCCAGGUAAAUCCGGUUCACUUUAACACUGAGGCGUGACGACGAGGCACUACGGUGCUGAAGCAACAAAUGCCCUGCUUCCAGGAAAAGCCUCUAAGCAUCAGGUAACAUCAAAUCGUACCCCAAACCGACACAGGUGGUCAGGUAGAGAAUACCAAGGCGCUUGAGAGAACUCGGGUGAAGGAACUAGGCAAAAUGGUGCCGUAACUUCGGGAGAAGGCACGCUGACACGUAGGUGAAGUGAUUUACUCACGGAGCUGAAGUCAGUCGAAGAUACCAGCUGGCUGCAACUGUUUAUUAAAAACACAGCACUGUGCAAACACGAAAGUGGACGUAUACGGUGUGACGCCUGCCCGGUGCCGGAAGGUUAAUUGAUGGGGUCAGCGCAAGCGAAGCUCCUGAUCGAAGCCCCGGUAAACGGCGGCCGUAACUAUAACGGUCCUAAGGUAGCGAAAUUCCUUGUCGGGUAAGUUCCGACCUGCACGAAUGGCGUAAUGAUGGCCAGGCUGUCUCCACCCGAGACUCAGUGAAAUUGAACUCGCUGUGAAGAUGCAGUGUACCCGCGGCAAGACGGAAAGACCCCGUGAACCUUUACUAUAGCUUGACACUGAACAUUGAGCCUUGAUGUGUAGGAUAGGUGGGAGGCUUUGAAGCGUGGACGCCAGUCUGCGUGGAGCCGACCUUGAAAUACCACCCUUUAAUGUUUGAUGUUCUAACGUGGACCCGUUACCCGGGUUGCGGACAGUGUCUGGUGGGUAGUUUGACUGGGGCGGUCUCCUCCUAAAGAGUAACGGAGGAGCACGAAGGUUGGCUAAUCCUGGUCGGACAUCAGGAGGUUAGUGCAAUGGCAUAAGCCAGCUUGACUGUGAGCGUGACGGCGCGAGCAGGUGCGAAAGCAGGUCAUAGUGAUCCGGUGGUUCUGAAUGGAAGGGCCAUCGCUCAACGGAUAAAAGGUACUCCGGGGAUAACAGGCUGAUACCGCCCAAGAGUUCAUAUCGACGGCGGUGUUUGGCACCUCGAUGUCGGCUCAUCACAUCCUGGGGCUGAAGUAGGUCCCAAGGGUAUGGCUGUUCGCCAUUUAAAGUGGUACGCGAGCUGGGUUUAGAACGUCGUGAGACAGUUCGGUCCCUAUCUGCCGUGGGCGCUGGAGAACUGAGGGGGGCUGCUCCUAGUACGAGAGGACCGGAGUGGACGCAUCACUGGUGUUCGGGUUGUCAUGCCAAUGGCACUGCCCGGUAGCUAAAUGCGGAAGAGAUAAGUGCUGAAAGCAUCUAAGCACGAAACUUGCCCCGAGAUGAGUUCUCCCUGAGACUUUAAGUCUCCUGAAGGAACGUUGAAGACGACGACGUUGAUAGGCCGGGUGUGUAAGCGCAGCGAUGCGUUGAGCUAACCGGUACUAAUGAACCGUGAGGCUUAACCUUACAACGCCGAAG